ACACGCAUGACACACUGCAUAUCAAUAAGCGGAGGAAAAGAAACUAACAAGGAUUCCCUUAGUAACGGCGAGUGAAGCGGGAAGAGCUCAAAUUUGAAAUCUUCAAGGUUCUACCUUGACGAAUUGUAGUUUAUAGAAGUGUUUUCUGUUAGUAGGAGUGGCAAAAGUUCUUUGGAAUAGGACAUCAUAGAGGGUGAGAAUCCCGUAUUUGGUCAUUCCUUCCUAGCGUUGUGAUACACUUUCAACGAGUCGGAUUGUUUGGGAAUGCAGUCCAAAAUGGGUGGUAAAUUUCAUCUAAAGCUAAAUAUUGGCGAGAGACCGAUAGCGAACAAGUACCGUGAGGGAAAGAUGAAAAGAACUUUGAAAAGAGAGUUAAACAGUACGUGAAAUUGUCAAAAGGGAAGCGUUUGACACCAGUGUUGUUUAGUUCCGAAAAUCAAUUCACUAAUGUUUUGAUUUUAAGUAGUAUUGACUUCAUCAGCUUGCUGCUUUCUUUAUGAAACUUUCUUAAUGCACUUUUCGGUUAACAAGUCAACAUCAAUUUCUUUUGUUGUAAAAGGGUAUGAGGAAGGUGGCUUUCUUUUCGGAGAAAGUGUUUAUAGCCUUGUACCUCUGCAAUCGGAGAGAUUGAGGUCUGCAGCGUAGAUCCUUCGGGGUUAGAUACAUUUGUGCUAAGUUAUAGCUUUUCAUAGACAACUUGUUGACUAUGUUAAGUCUUGUAAUUUACUCGCAGAUGCUAUUUUACCUACGCUUAGGAUGUUGAAGACUCUACAGAGAUA
RNAcentral lists this ribosomal RNA (779 nucleotides) under uncultured Neocallimastigales. Its description in RNAcentral is "partial large subunit ribosomal RNA". It matches the Rfam family "Eukaryotic large subunit ribosomal RNA", at positions 23 to 619 of the family's 3401-position model. Lineage: Eukaryota; Fungi; Neocallimastigomycota; Neocallimastigomycetes; Neocallimastigales. The record is from RNAcentral.